UAUUGAUUAUAUUCUUUAGGUUGUGGAUCGAAUUGGCAAGGAGCAUUGCAAAGUUAAUUUGCAAGAGAUGUGACAAGCGAAGUAGAAAAGGAUACUUAAUUUUGAAGGCUUUGUGUUGGGCAGCUGUAGAAUAUUUUGUGUUGAAAGUAGUAACUUUUCACUAUGUUGAAUAUUUAAGACUCCUUGAAUACUUAAAGAACAUUUUGUUGUUGAUGACAGUGUUGAAUGUUUUAAACUAAUUUGUGGAUUGUUAAUACAAUGUUGAAUGUUUUUACUUUUUGUUAUUUGAAAA
Humulus lupulus (European hop) is the source of this 292-nucleotide long non-coding RNA. RefSeq lists it as uncharacterized. Lineage: Eukaryota; Viridiplantae; Streptophyta; Magnoliopsida; Rosales; Cannabaceae. The record is from RefSeq and is a predicted model, not a curated record. The transcript is spliced from 2 exons.